CAACCCUUUAAAAAUGUGCCAUUGUAUUGUGAUAAGUCACUGUGUGUUGCUUGAUAUGGUUUGACUGUUUGUGAUUUUAUUGAGGUUUCACAACAAUGUUACUGUGGUGACCCUAUUGGCUGGUCCCAAGGGAAAUAAAGGUUUUGACAGUUCUUCUUGAUCCCUCUAAACGUAGCCUUGUCUCGUUAUUGGAGGGAGCUGGUAUAAUCACACUGGGGAUUGCUAUGCUCUGCAUGCUCCCCUGAGCUUGAGUCACUUAGCUCUUUUAAGAGCUUGUUCCUGAUACACUCUCCUUGGAGGAGGGGUCUUCACCACACAGUCCUGGAUGCUGGAGGUUCAUACAGGGUGGAAGGAAGAGUUUUUUCCCACACAGUCCUGGAGGACAGAAGCUGAUUCAGGUUGGAAGGAAGACGGCGAGACUCCAGUCAAGAUACGGCGGUUGCGGAGUCUGCGGUGGUUGUGGUGUCUGCUGCAGUGCUUGGAGUCCUCAGGAAGCGCUAGGAGCAUCCAUCAACGGAGGGUACUCGGUCGGAGUACAGGGAGCUCCGUUACAGUACUGUUUCAAUGGGAGCAGCUAACACAGGCGCUUGUGUAAGAACAUCUAUUAACAGGUUCCAACUCUUUCCAGCUUCCUCUGUCCAGAGUAGCUUAUCUGUAUUAGCACUAUCUUUUAGCAUAUUGUACAGGGGUUUUGCUAUCCCUGCCAUAUCAUAGAUGAAUUCUCUGCUAAAAUUUACCAAACCUAAAAAUUUCCUUAGAUCAGACACUGUCAUUGGCCUUGGCAAUUGCUGUAACGCUUUAACCCUUGCUGUUCGUGGUGUUUUACCUGCUGGAUCUAUAUUUACUCCUAAGAAAGCCACGCUUUCUUUCAAGAUCUGCACUUUGAAUGUGUUCAGUUUUAACCCAUUAUCUGCCAGUGCUUGACAAAUAUCACACAGUAUCUGCUCAUGCUCUUCCCUUGCUACUGUUUGAACCAACAGAUCAUCAACAUAUUGCAAAAUCUUGUUCCCAUACCCCAGGGGUUCCAAUACUUGAGCCAGUGCUUUAUGAAAAUAAGCUGGCGAGGAGUGGAAGCCCUGUGGCAGCACCUGGAACAGAUAUUGAUGAUUUUUAAAGGUAAAAGCAAAACGAUACUGACUAUCUGGAUGUACUGGUAUUGAGAAAAACCCAUUGGCUAUAUCCAGAACAGAAAAAUACUUAGCAUUGCCGUCUAUUUGUGCCAUGAUAUCUGGUGAGGAGGCCACUAUAUGGGCUGCUGGUGGGGUAUACUUAUUCACCACUCGCAUGUCCACAAUUAACCGAUAAGAGCCAUCUGGCUUAAUUAUUGGCCAAAUGGGGGAAUUACAUUUGGAAUUACCCACUCUCAGCACUCCUUGAGA
Molecule: non-coding RNA, 1379 nt
Organism: Pelobates cultripes (western spadefoot toad)
Lineage: Eukaryota; Metazoa; Chordata; Amphibia; Anura; Pelobatidae
Source: the annotation of a GenBank genome assembly